This 72-nucleotide transfer RNA is filed under the name Vibrio sp. B181a. RNAcentral describes it as "tRNA-Gly". It matches the Rfam family "tRNA". From Rfam's summary of the family: Transfer RNA (tRNA) molecules are approximately 80 nucleotides in length. Their secondary structure includes four short double-helical elements and three loops (D, anti-codon, and T loops). The record is from RNAcentral. Lineage: Bacteria; Pseudomonadati; Pseudomonadota; Gammaproteobacteria; Vibrionales; Vibrionaceae.
GCGUACAUCGUAUAAUGGCUAUUACCUCAGCCUUCCAAGCUGAUGAUGCGGGUUCGAUCCCCGCUAAACUCA